RNAcentral lists this ribosomal RNA (496 nucleotides) under uncultured bacterium. RNAcentral's name for it is "partial 16S ribosomal RNA". It matches the Rfam family "Bacterial small subunit ribosomal RNA", at positions 29 to 507 of the family's 1533-position model. The record is from RNAcentral.
AUGAACGCUGGCGGCGUGCCUAAUACAUGCAAGUCGAGCGAACAGACGAGGAGCUUGCUCCUCUGACGUUAGCGGCGGACGGGUGAGUAACACGUGGAUAACCUACCUAUAAGACUGGGAUAACUUCGGGAAACCGGAGCUAAUACCGGAUAAUAUAUUGAACCGCAUGGUUCAAUAGUGAAAGACGGUUUUGCUGUCACUUAUAGAUGGAUCCGCGCCGCAUUAGCUAGUUGGUAAGGUAACGGCUUACCAAGGCAACGUUGCGUAGCCGACCUGAGAGGGUGAUCGGCCACACUGGAACUGAGACACGGUCCAGACUCCUACGGGAGGCAGCAGUAGGGAAUCUUCCGCAAUGGGCGAAAGCCUGACGGAGCAACGCCGCGUGAGUGAUGAAGGUCUUCGGAUCGUAAAACUCUGUUAUUAGGGAAGAACAAAUGUGUAAGUAACUAUGCACGUCUUGACGGUACCUAAUCAGAAAGCCACGGCUAACUACGUG